UAAGAGUGCAAGGGAGUCAUUUAGUGGG
Molecule: non-coding RNA, 28 nt
Filed under: Bombyx mori (domestic silkworm)
Lineage: Eukaryota; Metazoa; Arthropoda; Insecta; Lepidoptera; Bombycidae
Source: RNAcentral